This is a small nucleolar RNA of Gorilla gorilla gorilla (western lowland gorilla), 73 nucleotides long. Ensembl annotates it as small nucleolar RNA, C/D box 101. Its record names the gene SNORD101. The record is from Ensembl. NCBI's taxonomy places the organism in Eukaryota, Metazoa, Chordata, Mammalia, Primates, Hominidae.
GUUUGAAUGAUGACUUUAAUUGUCGGAUACCCCUUCACUCCUUUUAUGAGUGAGACAUAAGAGUCUGACAAAC